This 679-nucleotide ribosomal RNA is filed under the name Pseudomonas sp. EECC-476. RNAcentral describes it as "bacterial SSU rRNA". It matches the Rfam family "Bacterial small subunit ribosomal RNA", at positions 90 to 765 of the family's 1533-position model. The record is from RNAcentral. Lineage: Bacteria; Pseudomonadati; Pseudomonadota; Gammaproteobacteria; Pseudomonadales; Pseudomonadaceae.
AUUCAGCGGCGGACGGGUGAGUAAUGCCUAGGAAUCUGCCUGGUAGUGGGGGACAACGUUUCGAAAGGAACGCUAAUACCGCAUACGUCCUACGGGAGAAAGCAGGGGACCUUCGGGCCUUGCGCUAUCAGAUGAGCCUAGGUCGGAUUAGCUAGUUGGUGAGGUAAUGGCUCACCAAGGCGACGAUCCGUAACUGGUCUGAGAGGAUGAUCAGUCACACUGGAACUGAGACACGGUCCAGACUCCUACGGGAGGCAGCAGUGGGGAAUAUUGGACAAUGGGCGAAAGCCUGAUCCAGCCAUGCCGCGUGUGUGAAGAAGGUCUUCGGAUUGUAAAGCACUUUAAGUUGGGAGGAAGGGCAGUAAAUUAAUACUUUGCUGUUUUGACGUUACCGACAGAAUAAGCACCGGCUAACUCUGUGCCAGCAGCCGCGGUAAUACAGAGGGUGCAAGCGUUAAUCGGAAUUACUGGGCGUAAAGCGCGCGUAGGUGGUUCGUUAAGUUGGAUGUGAAAUCCCCGGGCUCAACCUGGGAACUGCAUUCAAAACUGUCGAGCUAGAGUAUGGUAGAGGGUGGUGGAAUUUCCUGUGUAGCGGUGAAAUGCGUAGAUAUAGGAAGGAACACCAGUGGCGAAGGCGACCACCUGGACUGAUACUGACACUGAGGUGCGAAAGCGUGGG